CGCACGGGUGAGUAACACGUAUGGAACCUGCCCUAUGCAGGGGGGGAUAAGCGGAAGAAAUUCCGUCUAAUACCGCAUAACACCAUUUGGAGACAUCUCCAGGGGGUCAAAGGAGGCGACUCCGGCAUAGGAUGGCCAUGCGUCGCAUUAGCUAGUCGGCGGGGUAACGGCCCACCGAGGCGACGAUGCGUAGGGGUUCUGAGAGGAAGGUCCCCCACACUGGUACUGAGACACGGACCAGACUCCUACGGGAGGCAGCAG
This 261-nucleotide ribosomal RNA is filed under the name uncultured bacterium. RNAcentral's name for it is "partial 16S ribosomal RNA". It matches the Rfam family "Bacterial small subunit ribosomal RNA", at positions 99 to 354 of the family's 1533-position model. The record is from RNAcentral.